This is a non-coding RNA of Macaca mulatta (Rhesus monkey), 278 nucleotides long. The record is from Rfam. NCBI's taxonomy places the organism in Eukaryota, Metazoa, Chordata, Mammalia, Primates, Cercopithecidae.
UGGCGCCCGAACAGGGACCUGGAAACGAGGGACUCCGUGAGGAAGAGGGCGCCAAAGGACGGUCGACCGCUAACAAAGACAAAAGGAAUUAAACCGAUCACCGCGGGAACCUGCCGCGUCUGAAUCGAAGGUAAGUGACGCGUCCGAAAUGGGACAAGAAUUAAGCCAACAUCAAAUAUAUGUAGGACAAUUAAAAGAGGCUUUAAAGAUACGAGGAGUAAAGGUUAAAGGUAAUGACUUGUUUAAAUUUUUUGAUUUUGUAAAAGAUACUUGCCCUU